Molecule: long non-coding RNA, 3550 nt
Organism: Tripterygium wilfordii
Lineage: Eukaryota; Viridiplantae; Streptophyta; Magnoliopsida; Celastrales; Celastraceae
Exons: 3
Source: RefSeq, a predicted model, not a curated record
UCAAAAUCAAAAUCAAGAAAUGGUGAUGGACAAACAAUCUUGAGCAGAAGUCACAGCUCAAAAAUCAUCAUAGAACUUCCAAGCUAAAUCCGCACCCACAACUCUCUUCCCCAUCACCCCUUACCAGAUCUCUAAACCACGAUUUGACCCACAUAUGGGUUCCUUUUGGGAUCACUUCGAACUCACUUCUCGAAGAGAGAGUUUCAAGCCAACAAAAAAAAAAAUGACAUAGGCCUCGCUUGCAUGCCUUGUGGCAAACUAGACUGAAGUUGAAAAAGUUGAACCCAAUUUCUUCACUUGUAGUCCAGGGCUUUGUUUGGCAUUGAGCUUCGGCUUGCUUUCCUGGUCAUGGAUUAAACCUCUGCUAUCCUAAUUCAGUCUAUAGGCUUUGGUUUAGGUAUGUUGGGGCGUGAGACAAGCUUCGUAGGACCAUCAAGGGUAAGGCCAAUUCCGAAAUAAAAAAUUGCAUUUGAUCCCUGUCCUUCCAUUCACGUUAAAGGUCCUACCUUUUCUGUCUCUCAUCACCUGCCCUACAUACCCACCACCGCCACGGCGCCACCCGUCCUCAGCCCUUCACAGCUGUCUCCUUUCUUCAUUGGUGCCGUCAGGUCCUCCCCUGCAUACCAAGCAUUCAGCCAUUCACGUAACAAGGUAAACAACACCCCCACAAAUUCUCUCUCAAUCCAGCUGCAAAACCACUUUCCUUUGCCCAACCGGUCCUUGAAAGGACUAGCCCCAAGAUUACCAGCAAACCAUCUUCAAUUUCUUGAAUGGGUUCAAGAGAUCUAUGGUCGCUGCCGUCACUACUCAUAUCUGGAGCUGCUAAGGUUUCGUGCCCCAUUGGCAAACAUUAGUGGGUGGAAGAGGAAGAAUCCGGUGGAGCUACUCAGAUUUGGCGACACAACUCUGUUAACAGAAGGGCAUCUAAGAUAUGAGAUGACCCAAAAAUGGAUUGUACGUGAUGGAGGAGUAUGUGACUACUAGUUAUCAGAUACCCGGUGAGAGAAGCAAGCCAGCCGACCCUUUUUGUAUAACCAAUACCUGAUACCCAGUCCUGUGAGCAAGCCAGUACGGAAAGCCAGUCCUGUGAUAACCCAUCCCGGGCAAAGGUACGUACUCUAUUCCAUCCAUUCCUGCUGAGCCUGACGGAACGGAACCUAAAAGAUAAUAAUCGUAUUCAUAUUUCCAUGGAAGUUUUCCUAUACCAGUUAGAUGGUUGUGGGAAAGAUUUAAACAAUAUAUUGUUUCCCUCCCCAUCUCCCACACCCACUCAGGAACUCGUUAUUAUUAAGCAAUGUUUUCAAAUGCAUUUUCAAGGCGCGUUGCGAAAAGUUUUUGGUUGAAAACGUACUGAUACUUUUCCAACAAAACGUGCGUUUUAUUGUGAAAAGCGUACGAGACGGUGCGUUUUAUUGGGGCGUGUGGUGCCCAAACGAUGCCAUUUUAAUUGUCUUGUAAGGCUAAGUGGCUAAUAGGGGCGUAAAAUGGCCGGGCCGAGCCGGGCUUCCGUUUGCUCGGGCUCGGCCCUUGACUUCUGAGUUAAGCUCGCGCUUGGCCCGGGCUUAACAGUGAGCCCAAAACCUGGGCACAAGACGGUCCUAUUAUAAGCUCACGAGCUCGAGAUGGGCUCACGGGCCCACAUCCAAUUGUUUGCACUGAAGGCAAUUGAAGCUGCACCACUAUAAAGACAAGGGGAUAUGGCCUUGCUUUUAUAGAAAAAUUAUGAAUUUAAAAUUGGUAUCUUCCGAUGUCGGACCAAAUAAACUACACUACACGCAUACAUAUAAACACACACGCAUACAUAUAAACACAGACAACUACACCCAUACAAGGCACAUAUAAGCACACACUACAGCCACUGACGCAAGCAUAUAUAUAUAAUAUACAAGCUAUACACAUGCAUAUAUAAAAACACACACACAUACAUAUACGACUACAUACAACGUAUACAUAUAUAUAGAUACACACAUAUAAACACACACACGCGUACAUAUAUAACCACACGCACACACUUAUAUACAUAAUUUUGAAUAAACACACACGCAUAUAUAUAUAUAUAUAUAUUAUUUAUAUAAAAAAGCCUUAGAGCUUACGAGCUGAGCUUCUCAAAGCCUUAGCUCGACCCUAAAUCCUAAACGAGCCCUAAAGUCGAGUCCUACCUCGGCCCUAACCCUUAAAAACACGAGCUUGAGCCGAGCUCUUAUCGGCCCACAAAUAGCCAUGUUCGCUUACACCCCUAGUGGCUGACUAGGGUCUCAACGUUAUAGGAAACAAACACGAAGCACACUGAUUUCACAACUCCAGGUCUCUCACUGUCUCGCAUACGGCAUACCUAGGCUACUAUUUCAGCAAGAAACACAGCGGCAGGUCUAUCACAACUCCAGUCGAUGCUCUCGCGGCAGCAGCAGAAACGGAAGGACCAAAGGAAGGUGGAUGAUGUUGAUGACGACGAGGAUGUCGCGCUUAUGUUUCCUCUGCUGGCUUUGUCUCCUCUUGGUUACCUCCUUGUUCUCUCUUGGCUUCCUCCUUGUUCUCCCUUCACGAAGCUUCUGGUUUUCUCCUCUCUCAGUAUCAGACUCGGACCCUAGAGCCUAGAUUGGAUCAUUCUUAUUCUAUGAAGUCUUGGGCUUAUACUUGUUCUUAUCUGGCUUGCUCAACUUUAUUUUGUGGGCCUGGUCCGCUUGUGUGUUAUUCAAGCCCUCACUACAUUUUAUUCAAAUGCUUUAACUUAAUAUUCCCUCUCUUUUUCUAUUAUAUUUCUGUAUUUUUUAAUAUAAAAAAUAUUUUUCCCGAAAAACUUACACCCCAACGCAUCAAUACUUACGCCUUGCCUCGUGAAGACGACAACGCACCGCCUUACGUUUUCGCAUUUGAAAACACUACUAUUAUGGAUCAAAGUAUCCAAUGAGGGGAGUGUAUACAACCAAGAUGGAAUGGCAUCAUUUAGAGAGUUAAAAGACAAUUCUAUGGAAUUAGUUUUGAAAGAUUUGAUAGGUUAAGAAAGGCGUCUACCAGUUGGUUAUUUUGAAGGAAUAGAAGUCUUAGUUGUGUGAGGUUUUCAAGUGAAGAUGGUAUCUCACCACUAAGAUUGUUGGAUGUGAGGUCUAGCAUCUUGAAUUGCGUAAGGUUCCCAAUAGAGUCAGGAAUCAAUCCUGUCAAAUUGUAGUUGUUAAGAGUCAAAUACUCCAAGGACAACAAAUGGUUGUUUGUUUCUAGAAAUUAGCUCCUGAUAGGCAUGUCUUGGAUAUGUAAGUUCCAGGGAGGAGUGCUUCAGUUAGACUUUGAAAAAAUAACGGUGAGGCCUUCAGUGAGUGAAUGUAGGUUUGGCGUGUGGAGAAUGUGGUAUGGGAAUUCUCCUUGCAAUCCAUAUUCAUGAAGAUUAAGAUAUGUCAGCAAGGAAGAGAGAUUCACCAAGGAACUUGCACUAACUGAGGACAUAUUAACACCGCAAAGGAGAAGUUCUUGGAUAACUACAAAAUUAUGAGCAAACUUUCUCAAUGUAGGUGCGUCAAGCUUGAAAUGCAAUGAACAGAGAUCAAGCAAAAUAAAU